Ornithodoros turicata is the source of this 242-nucleotide long non-coding RNA. RefSeq lists it as uncharacterized. The transcript has 3 exons. Lineage: Eukaryota; Metazoa; Arthropoda; Arachnida; Ixodida; Argasidae. The record is from RefSeq and is a predicted model, not a curated record.
AUGGAUCAAAACCAGUCCCGUCAUGCACAAUAUCUCCCGACUUCUCCACCGGCUGUGAUAACUACAUUGUACACCAGGUUUUUCUGGUUGGAACCGUCUAUUCUUGCGGUAUCAGCGGUGGUCUGGAUGGAUCAAAACCAGUCCCGUCAUGCACAAUAUCUCCCGACUUCUCCACCGGCUGUGAUAACUACAUCGUACACCAGGUUUUUCUGGUUGGAACUGUGUAUUCUUGCGGUAUCAGC